RNAcentral lists this transfer RNA (76 nucleotides) under Clostridia bacterium. RNAcentral describes it as "tRNA-Met". It matches the Rfam family "tRNA". Rfam says of the family: Transfer RNA (tRNA) molecules are approximately 80 nucleotides in length. Their secondary structure includes four short double-helical elements and three loops (D, anti-codon, and T loops). Further hydrogen bonds mediate the characteristic L-shaped molecular structure. tRNAs have two regions of fundamental functional importance: the anti-codon, which is responsible for specific mRNA codon recognition, and the 3' end, to which the tRNAs corresponding amino acid is attached (by aminoacyl-tRNA synthetases). tRNAs cope with the degeneracy of the genetic code in two manners: having more than one tRNA (with a specific anti-codon) for a particular amino acid; and 'wobble' base-pairing, i.e. permitting non-standard base-pairing at the 3rd anti-codon position. Lineage: Bacteria; Bacillati; Bacillota; Clostridia. The record is from RNAcentral.
CGCGGGGUGGAGCAGUUGGCAGCUCGUCGGGCUCAUAACCCGGAGGUCGUAGGUUCGAAUCCUUCCCCCGCAACCA